Myotis lucifugus (little brown bat) is the source of this 718-nucleotide long non-coding RNA. RefSeq lists it as uncharacterized. NCBI's taxonomy places the organism in Eukaryota, Metazoa, Chordata, Mammalia, Chiroptera, Vespertilionidae. The record is from RefSeq and is a predicted model, not a curated record. The transcript has 3 exons.
AGCUCCUGGCCCCUCCUUGGGGCGCUGGCGGGGGACACCUGGUCCUGGGCAGCACGGCGCGGGGCGCAGGGACGCAGGACUGCACCGACGCCCGCCGGCGAAGCACGUGAGCCCUGUCUGGUCACAGCGAGAGCACCGUCCUACGGGUGGGCACCGGGUAGCGGUCUCAGAAGGAGGCUGAGUGCUUAGUGUCAACCCCUUCGCCGAACUCCGACCCUCCGUCCUCCGCCGCGCGGCAGCUCUUUGUGUGUUUGUUUGUUUGUUCGUUUCCCCCGAGGUGGACUCUGGGCGCGUGGCUCCCCCCACCUCCUCGUGGAGGGUCCUCCCAGCCGGUCUGUUCACUUAUUUAACACAUUGAAGGCUCGCCGCCCUCCCCUCCAGGUUGUAGGUCCUGGGAGGCUGCGUGGGACAGGCCCGGUCUCUGCUCCCAAGAACGUACAUGGGGCGGGGACAGGAGAAGAAUGAGACAAACACGUGCUCUGCCUGGAUUCUGGGGUCCAGAGCUGGGAAACAGCAACAAAAACAGAUAUCCAGCAGACAGCAUCCUCCUCGGAGCCGCUAUGACGAGCAGACACCCUCCUGACAGCCCAGCGAGAAUCCCUCCAAUGCAUAUUCUAUUGAGUGCAUCUCCCGGCGGCUGACAGCCGCUUUAUCAAUUACAUUCCACGUUCCCCAGCCGUCAGAGACGCCACGGGCCGCCCCACCUAAUAAAUCACAG